RNAcentral lists this ribosomal RNA (254 nucleotides) under uncultured bacterium. Its description in RNAcentral is "partial 16S ribosomal RNA". It matches the Rfam family "Bacterial small subunit ribosomal RNA", at positions 524 to 776 of the family's 1533-position model. The record is from RNAcentral.
UACGGGGGGAGCAAGCGUUGUUCGGAUUUACUGGGCGUAAAGGGCGCGUAGGCGGUCAGCACAAGUCAGUUGUGAAAUCUCCGGGCUUAACUCGGAAAGGUCAACUGAUACCGUGCGACUAGAGUGCGGAAGGGGCAACUGGAAUUCUCGGUGUAGCGGUGAAAUGCGUAGAUAUCGAGAGGAACACCUGCGGCGAAGGCGGGUUGCUGGGCCGAUACUGACGCUGAUGCGCGAAAGCCAGGGGAGCGAACGGG